Long non-coding RNA from Rana temporaria (common frog), 566 nucleotides. RefSeq lists it as uncharacterized. The transcript has 2 exons. Lineage: Eukaryota; Metazoa; Chordata; Amphibia; Anura; Ranidae. The record is from RefSeq and is a predicted model, not a curated record.
UUUUAUCCGCUGGAAACUGUCCGAUCCGCCGGACAAUUAUCCAGUCGUGUGUACGGGGCCUAACAGAUAUAACCUCUUCCUGCUAAGCUAGGCUAGGCUCCAGUGUUUGUAGCAAGCAGCCAUUAACCACAAAGGAAGAGGGGUGGGAUCUCUGUGUCCCGUGAUGUACUGAAAGUAAAGGGUUUUAGAGGUCAACCAAAAAUCGCACUUUUUUCGUACACCCUGGGACACAAAGAGUGUUCAUAUUCAUAACGAUAGGGAUGUCCCAAAGCGAUGAAAUGAGGGGAGAACACACAGAAAUAAAACACCAAAUCCGAAUAGGUAAGAACUUUACAUGGCCACCUACAUCACCCGAUGGCACUGUCCCCUUCUGAUGUCACAUGAUGUUAGAAGGGGCGGUGCAAAAACAUGCAAAACAUACCAACUGAAGAAUGCAUCCUCAGUGGCACAAUCAGUGAAAGUAUGAACCGAAUCCUGGUAGCAGUUCUACAAGCUGCUGAAGCCUAAGGAUGAAUAGCUCAGGAGGUACCAAGACCCCUAGCAAAAUGGGCUUUCACCCAAAAAAA